Molecule: ribosomal RNA, 253 nt
Filed under: uncultured bacterium
Lineage: Bacteria
Description: partial 16S ribosomal RNA
Rfam family: Bacterial small subunit ribosomal RNA
Source: RNAcentral
CACGUAGGGCGCGAGCGUUGUCCGGAAUUAUUGGGCGUAAAGAGCUCGUAGGCGGCCUGUUGCGUCCGCUGUGAAAGCCCGGGGCUUAACCCCGGGUCGGCAGUGGAUACUGGCAGGCUAGAGGUAGGUAGGGGAGAAUGGAAUUCCCGGUGUAGCGGUGAAAUGCGCAGAUAUCGGGAGGAACACCGGUGGCGAAGGCAGUUCUCUGGGCCUUACCUGACGCUGAGGAGCGAAAGCGUGGGGAGCGAACAGG